GUGCCUCCGCAACGGCGGCCGAGGCACCCGGCGGCGUGGUGUCCUGUACCUUGCCCGCCUCCCUCUCUCCCUGGCUCAGGCAGCCAUAUUCGUUAUCUUCCAUACCCAACUGACUGACGGCGUUGCGCUCUGCCUUGCACGGGUGAUAUCACCUCCGGCCACCUGGCAGCGCCAUGCCUAGACUGCGCCAUCACCUCCGCUUAAUCGUUUCGGCCACACAGACACACGCCCUAUACACGUGUGCAACGUUGUGCGCACCCCAUCUCUGCUGAGGUGGGCUGAAGACUUUGAGCCUCUCAUUCUCCCUGUUUUCUGUGCAUGGUGGUGUGAUUGGGCGGUCUCUGAUCACACAAUGGCCGAUGUGCAGCUCUCCAACUCCAGCAAUGUCAAGGCUGUCUAUGCAGGACACAGCUUGAGCCUCUUCAUGGACCUCCGCCCGCCGGCGGAGGUGCUGGCGACGUGCAGCGGCUCCGUUGUCGAGGACCUGCCCGUGACACUAAGUGUCAUGCUGCGUCGCAUCCAUAGCGAAAGCGAGACCCCGCUUUCGUUUCGUUGUUCUUCCUCGCAUCGACUUCUCACCUACGUGCAGUGCGAAGACGGUGCUGGCGGCGAUGCUGUCCAGCUGGGAAUGAGCGGUAACAACCUGCUCAAGGUCACUAUAGACCUUGCUACCUUCCCGGACCGGUUGCAGCGACUAGCAGCGGCCGAUGUCGCUGCAGCUGAGCAUGCCUUGCUUGAUCAGUCGUGGGUGAUCGGCUCGCGGUUCCGCCUCUCAAUGCAGCUGCGUACCAGAGCGCGUGCCGAGUGGCCACCCCUCGUCGCCCCGCAGUGGAGCGAGUCCAGUGACGGCUGCCUUGUCCCGACACCUUGCAGCCAUCACAUGGACAAUCAUGACAGCGCGGGCGUUAUGAGGAUGCGGGAAGAGUUCGCCGCGAAGGGCGUAUCCGCGUCGCCCAGUAUCGUUCGGCGGAAUCGGCCACUGUCUCUAUACGACAAGUCAGCACCGCGCUCUCAGUUGAAGGGUCCGGUGUACAUUGACCAAGAGCUGUUCCCGAUCGUUCGUAUUUUGUUUGUUCCUCAACUCUACACGGAGGCCAUCCCGACGGCAACGGCGGUGUUGCGGAGCAUGACGGUGCAAGUCGGAGUGGAGCGUUGCCGCGAGAGCCGCGGCGGCAAGCCGCUUCGUCGCGCCCUGCGAGACCGCAGCACUAAAGACAACGUCGCCGUGCUCGAUCGCGUGCCGGCAAGUAGCAGCACGUUAGAUGAGGAGAGCAAAGCCCUACUGCAACCGUACGAGGCCAUCUGCCUCGCCUUUAACGCCCAUGUUCGUCAGCCCUCAAUGACGUCGGUCACUGCCUACAACGUGGCACACGCGAGGCGACUUGUUGUGCAGGACUACACCUUUGAGGUGAUGGUCACGGCAGCGAGGAUGAAAAGCGAAACCGUGGAGACCGUGCAGCGCGCUAUUCAGGCCUAUCAGUACGAGAGCGGCGAUGCAGAUGUGCUGGGCAUGAACCUCGAUGAAGCCGUCAGCUCCGUCGAAGAGCGGUUUGGCUACAUGAAGGACGCGCCGUCGGUGGACUUGAUGAGCUUUCACCAUGUUGUUUGGGAGGCGAUGCGAGCAUGCAUGGUGGCCGACGUCACUUCCAGUGCACUUGCAAACGAACUGGAGGACGAGCUCGACCGCUAUGAGGACCGCAUCAACGAAAUCUUGAUGGAUAUGUGACUCAAACGAUGCCACUGGUAGGUUUCUCUCUCUCUUUGUAUGUCUACGCUUCCUGAUCAUGGAGCCUGGAUGUGGCACACACACACACACAUACACACACACACGCAGAG
RNAcentral lists this unclassified non-coding RNA (1836 nucleotides) under Leishmania donovani. Its description in RNAcentral is "gene:LdHU3.28.0530(CDS-product:hypothetical_prote in)". The record is from RNAcentral. Lineage: Eukaryota; Euglenozoa; Kinetoplastea; Trypanosomatida; Trypanosomatidae.